This 1800-nucleotide long non-coding RNA is filed under the name Rattus norvegicus (Norway rat). RNAcentral's name for it is "long non-coding RNA NONRATT022167". The record is from RNAcentral. Lineage: Eukaryota; Metazoa; Chordata; Mammalia; Rodentia; Muridae.
GAAGAGGAGAGACUCUGCAGCACCUUGGUAUGCGCCAUCCCCAAUAUGGACACAAAUGAAAGAAACAGGCUUCCACAGCCUUCUCAGGCCAGGGUCCAAGCCAAGCAGUUGUUUGAUUUUUCCUUCACAAGUAGGUGAGGAGGUCACCAGGUUUGAAUCUUUACUUUGAUCUGACAUGGUUUGAAUUUUAUGCCCUGCUCUGUAAUCACUCUAGCUUUUCAGUAUUCCAGAGAUAUGCUUAGUAUUCAAAUUUUAAUAGGAAACUCUGGGCCCAAGGUACAGCGAUGGAUUAACCACAAAUAAACCUUUAUUUAGAACUGUUCACUGGCCUAAGAAACAUGUAAUGAAGAAUCCAUCUACCCUUAGUGCCAGCAAGUGCCCCAGACGCUGACCUGUACUCUUGUCAUCACAGUGCCUAGUGAGACUGCUCAGGACAAGGUUGCCUUCCCAUGCUCCUUCAGCAACCUCGAGGCACUUCGGAGGGCCCUGCAUUGCUGACUCGACUGUCCCCAGCUUUUAAAUAUAUCAUGCUCUUGAAGCCCAUUUGGAAGUUUGUUUUUGUUUUUUGUUUUUUUUUUUAAGGAGAACUGAAUAUAAAUGGUAUUUGGGUUCAGUCCACAACUGUUAGCUCAUGCAUCUUUUAGGUAUGUGUGGGAGGGUAGUUGUAAAGUCCUCAUGUGGUUUUAACUAAAUAUAAUUAUCGGCAAGAUAAAACAGCUCGCAAAAUCACUUUAAAGGUGAGCCUGGUUCUCACUCCUGUCAUGUGAUGUUGGGAUCUGUUGCCACUGAAGAGAAUUCCCCUUUGUAUUUGGUAGCUGGGUUUUGUUGUUACUGUUGUUAUCUUAACACCAGAAGUUUUAAAAGGGACCGAAUGCUAUAUAUAAUAUAAUCUUCCAGUUUAAUAGAGUAGAUUUUUAUAGUUAUUUAAGGAUUGUUUAUAGAUGAGGUUGGCAAAAAUCUAAAAAGCCCAAGGACUUUGUGAAGACUUCAUGUAAGGAAGACUAUAGAUUACCAUUUUAAAAAUAAUGUUCUUGCCAUGAAAAAGCAUAUUCUUAGUUUAUAAUAUGAGAAACUGUGGUUCCAUGAUCUAGUAAGAAGUCAGUAACGCCGUGGGAAGCCUGGGUGGCCUUCCCACUUAGGAGAAGAACCCUGGCGCUGUCGCCCUGGGCUGAGACAGCUCAUAUGCUAGAGCCGUGCCCCUCCAGUCAUCCCCCUCCAGUUAGGCCUGGCUAGUGUUUGGAGGGAGCUCUGCGGUCUUGCUGUGCUUCUGUGGUCACUUGUGCUGGGUGUGGAGGGAGAUCUCAUCCACUCCCUCACUGUCGCUAACUGGCUACCUCCUUAUGCAUGUUGGCAAUUUUUAGCACCUGAUACAUACAUCAAAGUGGUACGUUUUGUUUUUACCCAUGAUCCGCUAUCUAAAAAUUUUCCUCCAACCCCCACCUUGGGGUUAGUGGACUCAUGGAAGGCCUCUGUUGUCAAAGCCUCAGUUUAACCCCCCAGAUCCGGCAUAAGGCACAAACCAUGUAGAAGCUGGUAGGUAGGUCUUAAAUUCUUGUCUCCCCAGUUCUCAGAUUCAAAACUCAAGGCUUUUUCACUGACCAGCAUAUCAUAUGACUACACAUCAAAUUAGUCAAAAUAGCAUGCUUGAAAAAAUAUGCCUGUUUUGCUUGUAGCAGUCUAGCCCGCGGGAGCCUUCCAGAUCUGUAUGUGGGUGGGGCUCUGAUGUAGCACUUUACGUUUUCUUGCUGCUGCUGUUGGUUUAUUCUACUGAAAUAAAUGAUUUCAUCAAGCUUCUCAGUG